Molecule: long non-coding RNA, 624 nt
Filed under: Homo sapiens (human)
Lineage: Eukaryota; Metazoa; Chordata; Mammalia; Primates; Hominidae
Description: HSALNT0345748
Source: RNAcentral
AGAUGAGAUUACCAGUCUGCAAAUGAUCAGGACAAAGCUCAUUGUUGUGAUGGUGAGACAGCAUCAUUGGAUGACAGCAUCACUAGCAUCUGACUCACUUGACAAAGUAUCUGUAUCCUGCCUUUUACUAAAAAGCCUAGCACUGAGGUCUCAUUUAUUCUAGUGCAGCACCUGUGACCUGCCUGGACUCCGUCAUCACAAUGUCAAAAUUCUGUCACAAUGUCAAAAUUCUGUCACAGUGCCAAAAUUCUGUCACAGUGUCAAAAUUCUGCUGAGUUUCACGCCAAGGGAGGGGAAGGAGAAUAUUCAUCCUCUUUUCCCAUUUGGUGUCACAUGCAAUUAUAUGGGGCCCAAAGCAGAUCAGCUUAUAUCCAGCACCUCUUAUAUGGAAGGCAUCAAUGAGAACCAAAAUAAAAACUACAAUCCCUCACUCAAGAAGUUUAAAAUGAAGUGAAUGGACAAUUGUGAGAAGAAAUGCUAUUGAUCUUCCAAAGUUGUAUAUUCGAUAGUGAAUAUUGUAUGUUUAAAGUAACCUUGCAAAAUGUGUCAUGUCAAAUGUAAUAAAUUGUAUGUUCUGACGAAGGAAUGGAAUGCCAGAUCUAAGGAACUGAAAUUUAUCUGGGC